RNAcentral lists this ribosomal RNA (765 nucleotides) under uncultured Streptococcus sp. Its description in RNAcentral is "bacterial SSU rRNA". It matches the Rfam family "Bacterial small subunit ribosomal RNA", at positions 28 to 776 of the family's 1533-position model. Lineage: Bacteria; Bacillati; Bacillota; Bacilli; Lactobacillales; Streptococcaceae. The record is from RNAcentral.
GACGAACGCUGGCGGCGUGCCUAAUACAUGCAAGUAGAACGCUGAAGCUUGGUGCUUGCGCCGAGCGGAUGAGUUGCGAACGGGUGAGUAACGCGUAGGUAACCUGCCUGGUAGCGGGGGAUAACUAUUGGAAACGAUAGCUAAUACCGCAUAAGAGUAGAUGUUGCAUGACAUUUGCUUAAAAGGUGCAAUUGCAUCACUACCAGAUGGACCUGCGUUGUAUUAGCUAGUUGGUGAGGUAACGGCUCACCAAGGCAACGAUACAUAGCCGACCUGAGAGGGUGAUCGGCCACACUGGGACUGAGACACGGCCCAGACUCCUACGGGAGGCAGCAGUAGGGAAUCUUCGGCAAUGGACGGAAGUCUGACCGAGCAACGCCGCGUGAGUGAAGAAGGUUUUCGGAUCGUAAAGCUCUGUUGUAAGAGAAGAACGAGUGUGAGAGUGGAAAGUUCACACUGUGACGGUAUCUUACCAGAAAGGGACGGCUAACUACGUGCCAGCAGCCGCGGUAAUACGUAGGUCCCGAGCGUUGUCCGGAUUUAUUGGGCGUAAAGCGAGCGCAGGCGGUUAGAUAAGUCUGAAGUUAAAGGCUGUGGCUUAACCAUAGUACGCUUUGGAAACUGUUUAACUUGAGUGCAAGAGGGGAGAGUGGAAUUCCAUGUGUAGCGGUGAAAUGCGUAGAUAUAUGGAGGAACACCGGUGGCGAAAGCGGCUCUCUGGCUUGUAACUGACGCUGAGGCUCGAAAGCGUGGGGAGCAAACAGG